AGUGAACGCUGGCGGUAGGCCUAACACAUGCAAGUCGAACGGCAGCACAGUAAGAGCUUGCUCUUACGGGUGGCGAGUGGCGGACGGGUGAGGAAUACAUCGGAAUCUACUUUUUCGUGGGGGAUAACGUAGGGAAACUUACGCUAAUACCGCAUACGACCUACGGUUGAAAGCAGGGGAUCUUCGGACCUUGCGCGAUUGAAUGAGCCGAUGUCGGAUUAGCUGGUUGGCGGGGUAAAGGCCCACCAAGGCGACGAUCCGUAGCUGGUCUGAGAGGAUGAUCAGCCACACUGGAACUGAGACACGGUCCAGACUCCUACGGGAGGCAGCAGUGGGGAAUAUUGGACAAUGGGCGCAAGCCUGAUCCAGCCAUACCGCGUGGGUGAAGAAGGCCUUCGGGUUGUAAAGCCCUUUUGUUGGGAAAGAAAAGCAGCAGGUUAAUACCCCGCUGUUCUGACGGUACCCAAAGAAUAAGCACCGGCUAACUUCGUG
Molecule: ribosomal RNA, 492 nt
Filed under: uncultured bacterium
Lineage: Bacteria
Description: partial 16S ribosomal RNA
Rfam family: Bacterial small subunit ribosomal RNA
Source: RNAcentral